RNAcentral lists this ribosomal RNA (468 nucleotides) under uncultured bacterium. Its description in RNAcentral is "partial 16S ribosomal RNA". It matches the Rfam family "Bacterial small subunit ribosomal RNA", at positions 28 to 507 of the family's 1533-position model. The record is from RNAcentral.
GACGAACGCUGGCGGCGUGCUUAACACAUGCAAGUCGAACGGAAAGGCCCUGCUUUUGUGGGGUGCUCGAGUGGCGAACGGGUGAGUAACACGUGAGUAACCUGCCCUUGACUUUGGGAUAACUUCAGGAAACUGGGGCUAAUACCGGAUAGGAGCUCCUGCUGCAUGGUGGGGGUUGGAAAGUUUCGGCGGUUGGGGAUGGACUCGCGGCUUAUCAGCUUGUUGGUGGGGUAGUGGCUUACCAAGGCUUUGACGGGUAGCCGGCCUGAGAGGGUGACCGGCCACAUUGGGACUGAGGUACGGCCGAGACUCCUACGGGAGGCAGCAGUGGGGAAUAGUGCACAAUGGGCGGAAGCCUGAUGCAGCAACGCCGCGUGCGGGAUGACGGCCUUCGGGGUGUAAACCGCUUUCGCCUGUGACGAAGCGUGAGUGACGGUAAUGGGUAAAGAAGCACCGGCUAACUACGUG